AGACAAAACUGAUUGUGAAGUUUAAGUAAUUUUCUUAAGUCAUAAUCCUGUCACCUUAGGUCGAUCGGUACCUCAAUUUAAGAAUUAUGUUUAAAAAUUUUUCUUAAUUUCAGUUCCUAAAUUUGUCUAGGUCACACCCAACAAUGGUUCUCCUGGGCCAUUAGCUCAGGUGGUUAGAGCGCACCCCUGAUAAGGGUGAGGUCCCUGGUUCAAGUCCAGGAUGGCCCAUUCGGUGUUGGGGGUAUAGCUCAGUUGGUAGAGCGCCUGCUUUGCAAGCAGGAUGUCAGCGGUUCGAGUCCGCUUACCUCCACUGAUUAACCAUCAGAUAUCCAAAACGAUAUGGAGAAAUUAUUUGUUGAAGUGACUUAGAAAAAAUUAAUGACCCCAGCUUCCUAUCAUACCAAAAAUAACAUUGGCUGAUAAUAAGCUGGGCUCUCUGAAGUUCUUAUGAAUUUCAGUAGUUUCAGUAGAACCUUGACAACUGCAUAGAUAAAGUCUGUAAGAAAGCAUCAAGAUGAUGUAAGUUGCUUACUAUUUUUAAUUUAUUAAAAAAUAGUAAGAAAUUGUUGAUUUUAAUAAAAGCUAAGUCUCUAAAUAUUUCUAUAAGGAUGAUAGAGAUUUAAU
This 624-nucleotide transfer RNA is filed under the name uncultured cyanobacterium. Its description in RNAcentral is "partial 16S-23S intergenic spacer". The stretch from base 238 to 310 matches the Rfam family "tRNA". The record is from RNAcentral. Lineage: Bacteria; Bacillati; Cyanobacteriota.